This 243-nucleotide long non-coding RNA is filed under the name Panax ginseng (ginseng). Its description in RNAcentral is "long non-coding RNA (PGIN_LNC003428)". Lineage: Eukaryota; Viridiplantae; Streptophyta; Magnoliopsida; Apiales; Araliaceae. The record is from RNAcentral.
AGAGCCAAGUGUAUUGAAGAUGAAAGUUUAACGCAUGUGCUAUCUGCCCCAAUUGAUUUUCCAAAUUCUUGAUCGACGCAUUUAUGCUUUGUGUAUUCAGAUCUGUUUUAUUUUGUUUCCUUUCAUGUUCCUCGUGUUUCUUUUCAGAAGCUGUAAUAAAUCUAUCCAAGGCUUCUUCCCAACUUGCUUUCCGCUCUGGUUGUUGUGUCUGAUUUUGAAACCCGGAAUUAUUUUGUUGUCUCG